UACGUAGGGGGCGAGCGUUGUCCGGAGUUACUGGGCGUAAAGCGCAUGCAGGCGGUUGUGUACGUUUGAGGUAACAGCUCCCGGCUCAACUGGGAGAGCGUCUCGAAAACGGCACGACUUGAGGGCUAAAGAGGGACAUGGAAUUCCGGGUGUAGUGGUGAAAUGCGUAGAUAUCCGGAGGAACACCAAUGGCGAAGGCAGUGUCCUGGUUAGCACCUGACGCUCAGAUGCGAAAGCUAGGGGAGCGAACGGG
Molecule: ribosomal RNA, 253 nt
Filed under: uncultured bacterium
Lineage: Bacteria
Description: partial 16S ribosomal RNA
Rfam family: Bacterial small subunit ribosomal RNA
Source: RNAcentral